GCUUUACUGUAACUUGAAAUUGGGUUCCGGCUUUGUUUGCGCAGUAUAGGUGGGAGGCUGUGAUAAUAUAUUUGAGGAUGUAUGGUAGCCAUCAGUGAGAUACCACUCUGGCAGAACUAGAAUUCUAACCUUGUUUCCGUUAUCCGGACAAGGAACAUUUUCAGGCGGGCAGUUUGACUGGGGCGGUCGCCUCCUAAAAGGUAACGGAGGCGUGCAAAGGUUCCUUCAGGCUGGUUGGAAAUCAGUCGUAGAGUGUAAAGGCAUAAAGGAGCUUGACUGUAAGACUUACAAGUCGAACAGAGACGAAAGUCGGCCUUAGUGAUCCGACAGUUCCGAGUGGAAGGGCUGUCGCUCAACGGAUAAAAGUUA
This 369-nucleotide ribosomal RNA is filed under the name Visia cayennensis. Its description in RNAcentral is "bacterial LSU rRNA". It matches the Rfam family "Bacterial large subunit ribosomal RNA", at positions 2098 to 2465 of the family's 2925-position model. Lineage: Eukaryota; Rhodophyta; Florideophyceae; Batrachospermales; Batrachospermaceae. The record is from RNAcentral.